GUGCCAGCAGCCGCGGUAAUACGUAGGUGGCAAGCGUUGUCCGGAUUUAUUGGGCGUAAAGCGAGCGCAGGCGGUUUCUUAAGUCUGAUGUGAAAGCCUUCGGCUCAACCGAAGAAGUGCAUCGGAAACUGGGAAACUUGAGUGCAGAAGAGGACAGUGGAACUCCAUGUGUAGCGGUGAAAUGCGUAGAUAUAUGGAAGAACACCAGUGGCGAAGGCGGCUGUCUGGUCUGUAACUGACGCUGAGGCUCGAAAGCAUGGGUAGCAAACAGGAUUAGAUACCCUGGUAGUCCAUGCCGUAAACGAUGAGUGCUAGGUGUUGGAGGGUUUCCGCCCUUCAGUGCCGCAGCUAACGCAUUAAGCACUCCGCCUGGGGAGUACGACCGCAAGGUUGAAACUCAAAGGAAUUGACGGGGGCCCGCACAAGCGGUGGAGCAUGUGGUUUAAUUCGAAGCAACGCGAAGAACCUUACCAGGUCUUGACAUCCUUUGACCACUCUAGAGAUAGAGCUUUCCCUUCGGGGACAAAGUGACAGGUGGUGCAUGGUUGUCGUCAGCUCGUGUCGUGAGAUGUUGGGUUAAGUCCCGCAACGAGCGCAACCCUUAUUACUAGUUGCCAGCAUUUAGUUGGGCACUCUAGUGAGACUGCCGGUGACAAACCGGAGGAAGGUGGGGACGACGUCAAAUCAUCAUGCCCCUUAUGACCUGGGCUACACACGUGCUACAAUGGAUGGUACAACGAGUUGCGAGACCGCGAAGGUUUAGCUAAUCUCUUAAAACCAUUCUCAGUUCGGAUUGUAGGCUGCAACUCGCCUACAUGAAGCCGGAAUCGCUAGUAAUCGCGGAUCAGCAUGCCGCGGUGAAUACGUUCCCGGGCCUUGUACACACCGCCCGU
RNAcentral lists this ribosomal RNA (893 nucleotides) under uncultured bacterium. RNAcentral describes it as "bacterial SSU rRNA". It matches the Rfam family "Bacterial small subunit ribosomal RNA", at positions 505 to 1397 of the family's 1533-position model. The record is from RNAcentral.